This is a non-coding RNA of Populus trichocarpa (black cottonwood), 128 nucleotides long. The record is from Rfam. Lineage: Eukaryota; Viridiplantae; Streptophyta; Magnoliopsida; Malpighiales; Salicaceae.
GGUCAAUGAUGAUAGAUCCAAAGGCUUGUUUCUCAAGAACAUUCGCAGUGGCCGCCUAAGAGCUUUCGCCUUUCGCCCAAGGCUUGAGAGCUUCUGCUGCAUCUUUCCUUCCUUGGAUGUCUGAGCCC